This 1250-nucleotide ribosomal RNA is filed under the name Nebrioporus carinatus. Its description in RNAcentral is "SSU rRNA". It matches the Rfam family "Eukaryotic small subunit ribosomal RNA", at positions 602 to 1677 of the family's 1831-position model. Lineage: Eukaryota; Metazoa; Arthropoda; Insecta; Coleoptera; Dytiscidae. The record is from RNAcentral.
UAUUAAAGUUGUUGCGGUUAAAAAGAUCGUAGUUGAAUCUGUGUCUCGUGCUGUCGGCCCGCGGCGUUAAACUGGCACGCACGCGAGACGUCCUGCCGGUGGGAUGCGGAGCUCGAGCUCCUCGGCGACCCCACGUCGUCUGGGGUAGCGCCGGACUCGGGGUCCGGUCCUACGCGCGCCCGUCCCGAUCACGAAUCCCGUCGCGGUGCUCUUCGCCGAGUUUCGCUGCGGGCUGGCACGUUUACUUUGAACAAAUUAGAGUGCUCAAAGCAGGCCGAAAAUUCGCCUGGAGUGUGUGCAUGGAAUAAUGGAACAGGACCCCGGUUCUAUUUUGUUGGUUUUCGGAAUCCCCGAGGUAAUGAUCGAUAUGGACAGAUGGGGGCAUUCGUAUUGCGACGUUAGAGGUGAAAUUAUUGGAUCGUCGCAAGACGGACGGAAGCGAAAGCAUUUGCCAAAAAUGUUUUCAUUAAUCGAGAACAAAAGUCAGAGGUUCGAAGGCGAUCAGAUACCGCCCUAGUUCGGACCAUAAACGAUGCCAGCUAGCGAUCCGCCGACGUUCCUCCGAUGAUUCGGCGGGCAGCAUCCGGGAAACCAAAGCUUUUGGGUUUCGGGCGAAGUAUGGUUGCAAAGCUGAAACUAAAAGGAAUUGACGGAAGGGCACCACCAGGAGUGGAGCCUGCGGCUUAAUUUGACUCAACACUGGAAACCUCACCAGUCCCGGACACCGGAAGGAUUGACAGAUUGAGAGUUCUUUCUUGAUUCGGUGGGUGGUGGUGCAUGGUCGUUCUUAGUUGGGAGAGCGAUUUGUCUGGUUAAUUCCGAUAACGAACGAGAUUCUGGCCUGCUAACUAGGCAUUACUCACCGGCAUCCCGUCGGUUGUCGUGUCGUGCCACGCCAGUCGUUUUGGCGACCGUGCACGUGCGCUUUCCCCACCCGCGCCCGGUCGGGUGUUCGCGGCCGUCACUGCAGGCGUACAAAAAUUUCUUCUUAGAGGAACAGGCGGCUCCUAGCCGCACGAGAUCGAGCAAUAACAGGUCUAUGAUGCCCUUAGAUGUUCUGGGCCGCACGCGCGCUACACUGAAGGAAUCAGCGUGUCUUCCCUGGCCGAAUGGUCCGGGUAACCCGCUAAACCUCCUUCAUGCUAGGGAUCAGGGCUUGCAAUUCUUCCCCGUGAACAAGAAAUUCCCAGUAAGCACGGGUCAUACGCUCGCGUUUAUUGCGUCCCUGCCCUUUGUACACACCGCCCGUC